AAGUCGUAACAAGGUUUCCGUAGGUGAACCUGCGGAAGGAUCAUUACAACGUAUCCACGUACAAACCAGUGAACUGUUCCCAACGGAGUGAGAUACAAAAGCAAUUUUGUAUGCGAGGUUGAUGGCAUGUCUGGUUCCUGCUGAUGGAGUUUCUGGGCUUUUGCCUCGAAACUAGGACCUGGCAUACCGCGAAAGCUUCUGGCUUUCGGACCUCAAGCUCUUCCGUUCGGUUGUUUACCGUCAGCUUGUUAAACCCUUUAUUAACCGUAUGUACCAUUUGAUCUGAUCUAUUCUGCCUGACGAUGUGUUCUUGUUGGCUUCAAGUCACGAACCGUCUCAGCAGGAGUUUGAUACGAAACAAAGAACAACUCUUAACAACGGAUAUCUUGGUUCCC
RNAcentral lists this unclassified non-coding RNA (395 nucleotides) under fungal sp. RNAcentral's name for it is "partial internal transcribed spacer region". The stretch from base 1 to 46 matches the Rfam family "Eukaryotic small subunit ribosomal RNA", at positions 1786 to 1831 of the family's 1831-position model. The record is from RNAcentral. Lineage: Eukaryota; Fungi.